AUACGUAGGGGGCAAGCGUUAUCCGGAAUCAUUGGGCGUAAAGAGUGCGUAGGUGGUUUCUUAAGCGUGGGGUUUAAGGCUACGGCUUAACCGUAGUUCGCCCCAUGAACUGGGAGACUUGAGUGCUGGAGAGGAAAGUGGAAUUCCUAGUGUAGCGGUGAAAUGCGUAGAUAUUAGGAGGAACACCAGUGGCGAAGGCGGCUUUCUGGACAGUAACUGACACUGAGGUACGAAAGUGUGGGGAGCAAACAGGAUUAGAUACCCUGGUAGUCCACACCGUAAACGAUGAGCACUAGGUGUCGGGCUCGCAAGAGUUCGGUGCCGCAGUUAACGCAUUAAGUGCUCCGCCUGGGGAGUACGUACGCAAGUAUGAAACUCAAAUGAAUUGACGGGG
This 394-nucleotide ribosomal RNA is filed under the name uncultured bacterium. RNAcentral's name for it is "partial 16S ribosomal RNA". It matches the Rfam family "Bacterial small subunit ribosomal RNA", at positions 523 to 918 of the family's 1533-position model. The record is from RNAcentral.